RNAcentral lists this ribosomal RNA (482 nucleotides) under uncultured bacterium. Its description in RNAcentral is "partial 16S ribosomal RNA". It matches the Rfam family "Bacterial small subunit ribosomal RNA", at positions 30 to 507 of the family's 1533-position model. The record is from RNAcentral.
AUUGAACGCUGGCGGCAUGCUUUACACAUGCAAGUCGAACGGUAACAGGCCGCAAGGUGCUGACGAGUGGCGAACGGGUGGGUAAUGCAUCGGAACGUGCCCAGUCGUGGGGGAUAACUACUCGAAAGAGUAGCUAAUACCGCAUACGAUCUAUGGAUGAAAGCGGGGGACCGUAAGGCCUCGCGCGAUUGGAGCGGCCGAUGUCAGAUUAGGUAGUUGGUGGGGUAAAGGCGCACCAAGCCAACGAUCUGUAGCUGGUCUGGGAGGACGACCAGCCACACUGGGACUGAGACAGCGCCCAGACGCCUACGGGAGGCAGCAGUGGGGAAUGUUGGACAAUGGUCGCAAGCCUGAUCCAGCAAUGCCGCGUGCAGGAAGAAGGCCUUCGGGUUGUAAACUGCUUUUGUACGGAACGAAACGGCUCUGGUUAAUACCCGGGGCUAAUGACGGUACCGUAAGAAUAAGCACCGGCUAACUACGUG